UAGCUCAGCGGUAGAGCAGUUGACUGUUAAUCAAUUGGUCGUGGGUUCGAAUCCC
Molecule: transfer RNA, 55 nt
Filed under: Parcubacteria group bacterium CG_4_9_14_0_2_um_filter_48_40
Lineage: Bacteria
Description: tRNA-Asn
Rfam family: tRNA
About the family: Transfer RNA (tRNA) molecules are approximately 80 nucleotides in length. Their secondary structure includes four short double-helical elements and three loops (D, anti-codon, and T loops). Further hydrogen bonds mediate the characteristic L-shaped molecular structure. tRNAs have two regions of fundamental functional importance: the anti-codon, which is responsible for specific mRNA codon recognition, and the 3' end, to which the tRNAs corresponding amino acid is attached (by aminoacyl-tRNA synthetases). tRNAs cope with the degeneracy of the genetic code in two manners: having more than one tRNA (with a specific anti-codon) for a particular amino acid; and 'wobble' base-pairing, i.e. permitting non-standard base-pairing at the 3rd anti-codon position.
Source: RNAcentral